UCUACGGUGUUUCUUGCUUUGGAAUGAGC
This 29-nucleotide small RNA is filed under the name Bombyx mori (domestic silkworm). RNAcentral describes it as "ovarian small RNA-29460". Lineage: Eukaryota; Metazoa; Arthropoda; Insecta; Lepidoptera; Bombycidae. The record is from RNAcentral.